RNAcentral lists this ribosomal RNA (253 nucleotides) under uncultured bacterium. Its description in RNAcentral is "partial 16S ribosomal RNA". It matches the Rfam family "Bacterial small subunit ribosomal RNA", at positions 524 to 776 of the family's 1533-position model. The record is from RNAcentral.
UACGGAGGGGGCCAGCGUUGUUCGGAAUUACUGGGCGUAAAGCGCGCGUAGGCGGACCUGCAAGUCGGGGGUGAAAGCCCGAGGCUCAACCUCGGAACUGCCUUCGAUACUGCGGGUCUCGAGUCCGGGAGAGGUGAGUGGAAUUCCUAGUGUAGAGGUGAAAUUCGUAGAUAUUAGGAAGAACACCAGUGGCGAAGGCGGCUCACUGGCCCGGUACUGACGCUGAGGCGCGAAAGCGUGGGGAGCAAACAGG